AUUGAACGCUGGCGGCAUGCUUUACACAUGCAAGUCGAACGGCAGCACGGGCUUCGGCCUGGUGGCGAGUGGCGAACGGGUGAGUAAUAUAUCGGAACGUACCCAGAAGUGGGGGAUAACGUAGCGAAAGUUACGCUAAUACCGCAUACGAUCUAUGGAUGAAAGCAGGGGACCGCAAGGCCUUGUGCUCCUGGAGCGGCCGAUAUCUGAUUAGCUAGUUGGUGAGGUAAAGGCUGACCAAGGCGACGAUCAGUAGCUGGUCUGAGAGGACGACCAGCCACACUGGAACUGAGACACGGUCCAGACUCCUACGGGAGGCAGCAGUGGGGAAUUUUGGACAAUGGGCGCAAGCCUGAUCCAGCAAUGCCGCGUGAGUGAAGAAGGCCUUCGGGUUGUAAAGCUCUUUUGCCAGGGAAGAAACGGUAGAGGCUAAUAUCCUUUGCUAAUGACGGUACCUGAAGAAUAAGCACCGGCUAACUACGUG
RNAcentral lists this ribosomal RNA (484 nucleotides) under uncultured bacterium. RNAcentral describes it as "partial 16S ribosomal RNA". It matches the Rfam family "Bacterial small subunit ribosomal RNA", at positions 30 to 507 of the family's 1533-position model. The record is from RNAcentral.